GCAGCGUCCUCCUCUUUCUCCUUCCACUGCUUGCCCCAGCGCAACCCAUUCGGCCAGUGUGUGCGUAUGUGUGGUGUGGUCAGAGGCGAGCGGGGAAUGGGAAGAGGAAUGGUGAGUGAGCGUGCGUGUGUGUGUGUGU
Molecule: non-coding RNA, 139 nt
Organism: Caenorhabditis elegans
Lineage: Eukaryota; Metazoa; Nematoda; Chromadorea; Rhabditida; Rhabditidae
Source: Ensembl